Molecule: transfer RNA, 71 nt
Filed under: Pangasianodon gigas (Mekong giant catfish)
Lineage: Eukaryota; Metazoa; Chordata; Actinopteri; Siluriformes; Pangasiidae
Description: tRNA-Gly
Rfam family: tRNA
About the family: Transfer RNA (tRNA) molecules are approximately 80 nucleotides in length. Their secondary structure includes four short double-helical elements and three loops (D, anti-codon, and T loops). Further hydrogen bonds mediate the characteristic L-shaped molecular structure. tRNAs have two regions of fundamental functional importance: the anti-codon, which is responsible for specific mRNA codon recognition, and the 3' end, to which the tRNAs corresponding amino acid is attached (by aminoacyl-tRNA synthetases). tRNAs cope with the degeneracy of the genetic code in two manners: having more than one tRNA (with a specific anti-codon) for a particular amino acid; and 'wobble' base-pairing, i.e. permitting non-standard base-pairing at the 3rd anti-codon position.
Source: RNAcentral
GCAUUGGUGGUUCAGUGGUAGAAUUCUUGCCUGCCCUGCUGGAGGCCCGGGUGCGAUUCCCAACCAAUGCA